Molecule: ribosomal RNA, 484 nt
Filed under: uncultured bacterium
Lineage: Bacteria
Description: partial 16S ribosomal RNA
Rfam family: Bacterial small subunit ribosomal RNA
Source: RNAcentral
AUUGAACGCUGGCGGCAGGCCUAACACAUGCAAGUCGAGCGGAUGAAGGGAGCUUGCUCCUGGAUUCAGCGGCGGACGGGUGAGUAAUGCCUAGGAAUCUGCCUGGUAGUGGGGGAUAACGUCCGGAAACGGGCGCUAAUACCGCAUACGUCCUGAGGGAGAAAGUGGGGGAUCUUCGGACCUCACGCUAUCAGAUGAGCCUAGGUCGGAUUAGCUAGUUGGUGGGGUAAAGGCCUACCAAGGCGACGAUCCGUAACUGGUCUGAGAGGAUGAUCAGUCACCCUGGAACUUAGACACGGUCCAGGCUCCUAAGGGAGGCAGCAGGGGGGAAAAUUGGACAAUGGGCGGAAGCCUGAUCCAGCCAUGCCGCGUGUGUGAAGAAGGUCUUCGGAUUGUAAAGCACUUUAAGUUGGGAGGAAGGGCAGUAAGUUAAUACCUUGCUGUUUUGACGUUACCAACAGAAUAAGCACCGGCUAACUUCGUG